This 418-nucleotide long non-coding RNA is filed under the name Populus trichocarpa (black cottonwood). RNAcentral's name for it is "long non-coding RNA (PTRI_LNC000995)". Lineage: Eukaryota; Viridiplantae; Streptophyta; Magnoliopsida; Malpighiales; Salicaceae. The record is from RNAcentral.
GGUGUACUUAUGGGAGCACGCCAAACCAUGAUCUCUGCUGGUCAUUAUCACAUAAGAUUUACAACGCUGCUGGCGGGUAUAAGACACAGAGGCAUGUGUUGGUCUGGUGAUUGUCACCUGUGGAAGGAUCUCAUUUGAGGAUUCAGUUCAUCACCAUCACUAGCGAUGACUGCCUGAGAAUCAUUUUUAUCCUCUUGCUGCGUGGACUGUACGUGGCAUCUAUUUCGGACGAGACAACAACACUGUUGAUUUAGUGCUUCCAUUUUUAUUAAUGCAUGGGUUUGAUUCUCUCGCCGGAGCAUUUAACGGGGGACAUCCUCUCCAUCCUAAACAUGUUCGCAAAAAGAAAAGGGAAGGAAAGAUGGAAAACCCAGCAUAAAAACAGGAGUCAAAGGCAAGUAAUCAUGUUUAUGGUAGG